Molecule: ribosomal RNA, 459 nt
Filed under: uncultured bacterium
Lineage: Bacteria
Description: partial 16S ribosomal RNA
Rfam family: Bacterial small subunit ribosomal RNA
Source: RNAcentral
CCUACGGGAGGCAGCAGUGAGGAAUAUUGGUCAAUGGUCGGGAGACUGAACCAGCCAAGCCGCGUGAGGGAGGAAGGUACAGAGUAUCGUAAACCUCUUUUGUCAGGGAACAAAGGCGGGGACGUGUCCCCGGAUGAGUGUACCUGAAGAAAAAGCACCGGCUAACUCCGUGCCAGCAGCCGCGGUAAUACGGGGGAUGCGAGCGUUAUCCGGAUUUAUGGGGUUAAAGGGGUGCGUAGGCGUGACCUUAAGUCAGCGGUAAAAUUGCGGUGCUCAACGCCGUAGAGCCGUUGAAACUGGGGUUCUUGAGUGAGCGAGAAGUAUGCGGAAUGCGUGGUGUAGCGGUGAAAUGCAUAGAUAUCACGCAGAACCCCGAUUGCGAAGGCAGCAUACCGGCGCUCAACUGACGCUGAGGCACGAAAGUGCGGGUAUCGAACAGGAUUAGAUACCCGGGUAGUC